AUUUUACUGAAAAAAACACUAUGAAGGUGAGCUUCCCCCCCUGCAUAUGUGACUUUCUCCUUAAAUCUGUGCUUCUUUGGACCUUAAGUGGGGCCAUAAGGAAAUUACCUCGUUGCUGUGAGUUGACCGCUACUGAGCAGAACUUCAGUGGUACCUACACAAAGAUACCAAAAUCUCUGCUGAAUGGAGACAGCCAGCUGAAUCAGAGAUAGCUGCUUCAGAGGAAACCCAGGAGUGUUAAUGCUUAAGUCUGCAUGCUGGAGCAAUGACAUUGGCAAGAUCAAGGCCAAGACUGCGCCGUUAUUUUCCUGGGUAAAAGUUCAGAGAAUCAUCAAGAACUCUGCUAUGAGUUGUGCCCAUGGCUCUGCAGAGCAGGAAUUAAAGCAACAACCUGCCUGGGAUCAGUAUGAGCAGAGGGAGAAUCCAGUUCCAGGUGUUCAGCCAUGGCAAAGGCAGAAGCAGACACUGUCAGCAUGUUUCAGCCCCCUUGACAGCCACUACUGA
This 504-nucleotide long non-coding RNA is filed under the name Numida meleagris (helmeted guineafowl). Its description in RNAcentral is "lncRNA (ENSNMEG00000018176.1)". Lineage: Eukaryota; Metazoa; Chordata; Aves; Galliformes; Numididae. The record is from RNAcentral.